UCACUAUGAUGAUGUGGUAUCCAACAUUCGCAGUUUCCACCAGAAGGGUCUUCCUUCGUGAUGGGCAAACCUUCCUUGGAUGUCUGAGUGA
Suncus etruscus (white-toothed pygmy shrew) is the source of this 91-nucleotide small nucleolar RNA. RefSeq annotates it as small nucleolar RNA SNORD14. NCBI's taxonomy places the organism in Eukaryota, Metazoa, Chordata, Mammalia, Eulipotyphla, Soricidae. The record is from RefSeq and is a predicted model, not a curated record. The transcript has a single exon.